Molecule: ribosomal RNA, 3965 nt
Filed under: Staphylococcus aureus
Lineage: Bacteria; Bacillati; Bacillota; Bacilli; Caryophanales; Staphylococcaceae
Description: bacterial LSU rRNA
Rfam family: Bacterial large subunit ribosomal RNA
Source: RNAcentral
UUAAGUUAUUAAGGGCGCACGGUGGAUGCCUUGGCACUAGAAGCCGAUGAAGGACGUUACUAACGACGAUAUGCUUUGGGGAGCUGUAAGUAAGCUUUGAUCCAGAGAUUUCCGAAUGGGGAAACCCAGCAUGAGUUAUGUCAUGUUAUCGAUAUGUGAAUACAUAGCAUAUCAGAAGGCACACCCGGAGAACUGAAACAUCUUAGUACCCGGAGGAAGAGAAAGAAAAUUCGAUUCCCUUAGUAGCGGCGAGCGAAACGGGAAGAGCCCAAACCAACAAGCUUGCUUGUUGGGGUUGUAGGACACUCUAUACGGAGUUACAAAGGACGACAUUAGACGAAUCAUCUGGAAAGAUGAAUCAAAGAAGGUAAUAAUCCUGUAGUCGAAAAUGUUGUCUCUCUUGAGUGGAUCCUGAGUACGACGGAGCACGUGAAAUUCCGUCGGAAUCUGGGAGGACCAUCUCCUAAGGCUAAAUACUCUCUAGUGACCGAUAGUGAACCAGUACCGUGAGGGAAAGGUGAAAAGCACCCCGGAAGGGGAGUGAAAUAGAACCUGAAACCGUGUGCUUACAAGUAGUCAGAGCCCGUUAAUGGGUGAUGGCGUGCCUUUUGUAGAAUGAACCGGCGAGUUACGAUUUGAUGCAAGGUUAAGCAGUAAAUGUGGAGCCGUAGCGAAAGCGAGUCUGAAUAGGGCGUUUAGUAUUUGGUCGUAGACCCGAAACCAGGUGAUCUACCCUUGGUCAGGUUGAAGUUCAGGUAACACUGAAUGGAGGACCGAACCGACUUACGUUGAAAAGUGAGCGGAUGAACUGAGGGUAGCGGAGAAAUUCCAAUCGAACCUGGAGAUAGCUGGUUCUCUCCGAAAUAGCUUUAGGGCUAGCCUCAAGUGAUGAUUAUUGGAGGUAGAGCACUGUUUGGACGAGGGGCCCCUCUCGGGUUACCGAAUUCAGACAAACUCCGAAUGCCAAUUAAUUUAACUUGGGAGUCAGAACAUGGGUGAUAAGGUCCGUGUUCGAAAGGGAAACAGCCCAGACCACCAGCUAAGGUCCCAAAAUAUAUGUUAAGUGGUAAAGGAUGUGGCGUUGCCCAGACAACUAGGAUGUUGGCUUAGAAGCAGCCAUCAUUUAAAGAGUGCGUAAUAGCUCACUAGUCGAGUGACACUGCGCCGAAAAUGUACCGGGGCUAAACAUAUUACCGAAGCUGUGGAUUGUCCUUUGGACAAUGGUAGGAGAGCGUUCUAAGGGCGUUGAAGCAUGAUCGUAAGGACAUGUGGAGCGCUUAGAAGUGAGAAUGCCGGUGUGAGUAGCGAAAGACGGGUGAGAAUCCCGUCCACCGAUUGACUAAGGUUUCCAGAGGAAGGCUCGUCCGCUCUGGGUUAGUCGGGUCCUAAGCUGAGGCCGACAGGCGUAGGCGAUGGAUAACAGGUUGAUAUUCCUGUACCACCUAUAAUCGUUUUAAUCGAUGGGGGGACGCAGUAGGAUAGGCGAAGCGUGCGAUUGGAUUGCACGUCUAAGCAGUAAGGCUGAGUAUUAGGCAAAUCCGGUACUCGUUAAGGCUGAGCUGUGAUGGGGAGAAGACAUUGAGUCUUCGAGUCGUUGAUUUCACACUGCCGAGAAAAGCCUCUAGAUAGAAAAUAGGUGCCCGUACCGCAAACCGACACAGGUAGUCAAGAUGAGAAUUCUAAGGUGAGCGAGCGAACUCUCGUUAAGGAACUCGGCAAAAUGACCCCGUAACUUCGGGAGAAGGGGUGCUCUUUAGGGUUAACGCCCAGAAGAGCCGCAGUGAAUAGGCCCAAGCGACUGUUUAUCAAAAACACAGGUCUCUGCUAAACCGUAAGGUGAUGUAUAGGGGCUGACGCCUGCCCGGUGCUGGAAGGUUAAGAGGAGUGGUUAGCUUCUGCGAAGCUACGAAUCGAAGCCCCAGUAAACGGCGGCCGUAACUAUAACGGUCCUAAGGUAGCGAAAUUCCUUGUCGGGUAAGUUCCGACCCGCACGAAAGGCGUAACGAUUUGGGCACUGUCUCAACGAGAGACUCGGUGAAAUCAUAGUACCUGUGAAGAUGCAGGNAACAGCCCAGACCACCAGCUAAGGUCCCAAAAUAUAUGUUAAGUGGAAAAGGAUGUGGCGUUGCCCAGACAACUAGGAUGUUGGCUUAGAAGCAGCCAUCAUUUAAAGAGUGCGUAAUAGCUCACUAGUCGAGUGACACUGCGCCGAAAAUGUACCGGGGCUAAACAUAUUACCGAAGCUGUGGAUUGUCCUUUGGACAAUGGUAGGAGAGCGUUCUAAGGGCGUUGAAGCAUGAUCGUAAGGACAUGUGGAGCGCUUAGAAGUGAGAAUGCCGGUGUGAGUAGCGAAAGACGGGUGAGAAUCCCGUCCACCGAUUGACUAAGGUUUCCAGAGGAAGGCUCGUCCGCUCUGGGUUAGUCGGGUCCUAAGCUGAGGCCGACAGGCGUAGGCGAUGGAUAACAGGUUGAUAUUCCUGUACCACCUAUAAUCGUUUUAAUCGAUGGGGGGACGCAGUAGGAUAGGCGAAGCGUGCGAUUGGAUUGCACGUCUAAGCAGUAAGGCUGAGUAUUAGGCAAAUCCGGUACUCGUUAAGGCUGAGCUGUGAUGGGGAGAAGACAUUGUGUCUUCGAGUCGUUGAUUUCACACUGCCGAGAAAAGCCUCUAGAUAGAAAAUAGGUGCCCGUACCGCAAACCGACACAGGUAGUCAAGAUGAGAAUUCUAAGGUGAGCGAGCGAACUCUCGUUAAGGAACUCGGCAAAAUGACCCCGUAACUUCGGGAGAAGGGGUGCUCUUUAGGGUUAACGCCCAGAAGAGCCGCAGUGAAUAGGCCCAAGCGACUGUUUAUCAAAAACACAGGUCUCUGCUAAACCGUAAGGUGAUGUAUAGGGGCUGACGCCUGCCCGGUGCUGGAAGGUUAAGAGGAGUGGUUAGCUUCUGCGAAGCUACGAAUCGAAGCCCCAGUAAACGGCGGCCGUAACUAUAACGGUCCUAAGGUAGCGAAAUUCCUUGUCGGGUAAGUUCCGACCCGCACGAAAGGCGUAACGAUUUGGGCACUGUCUCAACGAGAGACUCGGUGAAAUCAUAGUACCUGUGAAGAUGCAGGUUACCCGCGACAGGACGGAAAGACCCCGUGGAGCUUUACUGUAGCCUGAUAUUGAAAUUCGGCACAGCUUGUACAGGAUAGGUAGGAGCCUUUGAAACGUGAGCGCUAGCUUACGUGGAGGCGCUGGUGGGAUACUACCCUAGCUGUGUUGGCUUUCUAACCCGCACCACUUAUCGUGGUGGGAGACAGUGUCAGGCGGGCAGUUUGACUGGGGCGGUCGCCUCCUAAAAGGUAACGGAGGCGCUCAAAGGUUCCCUCAGAAUGGUUGGAAAUCAUUCAUAGAGUGUAAAGGCAUAAGGGAGCUUGACUGCGAGACCUACAAGUCGAGCAGGGUCGAAAGACGGACUUAGUGAUCCGGUGGUUCCGCAUGGAAGGGCCAUCGCUCAACGGAUAAAAGCUACCCCGGGGAUAACAGGCUUAUCUCCCCCAAGAGUUCACAUCGACGGGGAGGUUUGGCACCUCGAUGUCGGCUCAUCGCAUCCUGGGGCUGUAGUCGGUCCCAAGGGUUGGGCUGUUCGCCCAUUAAAGCGGUACGCGAGCUGGGUUCAGAACGUCGUGAGACAGUUCGGUCCCUAUCCGUCGUGGGCGUAGGAAAUUUGAGAGGAGCUGUCCUUAGUACGAGAGGACCGGGAUGGACAUACCUCUGGUGUACCAGUUGUCGUGCCAACGGCAUAGCUGGGUAGCUAUGUGUGGACGGGAUAAGUGCUGAAAGCAUCUAAGCAUGAAGCCCCCCUCAAGAUGAGAUUUCCCAACUUCGGUUAUAAGAUCCCUCAAAGAUGAUGAGGUUAAUAGGUUCGAGGUGGAAGCAUGGUGACAUGUGGAGCUGACGAAUACUAAUCGAUCGAAGACUUAAUCAA